This 2032-nucleotide long non-coding RNA is filed under the name Malus domestica (apple). RNAcentral describes it as "long non-coding RNA (MDOM_LNC001795)". Lineage: Eukaryota; Viridiplantae; Streptophyta; Magnoliopsida; Rosales; Rosaceae. The record is from RNAcentral.
AAUCCCUCAACUCCAAUCGUCCUCUUUCUCACAGUGCUCACCAGUCGUCGAUUCUCCUUAACGACAUCACCGCCAUCGCGACAAACACAACGACACCACCCAUCAUCAUCCUUGAGGAUAUCCCAGAGAACCUAGGCCAUCACCUUAUCAUCCCCGUUAUGGAUUCUCUCCUUUUCGACAACAUCCUCGCUGUCGCGACCACCAUCACCCCAUCACCGUCGUCGAGGACACUGGUACCAGCUAUCAUCCUUCUAAAAUUUAGGUAAUUUUGAAUUAGGGUUUUGUUAUUAAUUUGAAUUUCGGGUGUAGGGAUUUUAGGGUUCUUAAAUUAGAAUUUGAGAUUUUAGGGUUUUCGAACUAGGUUACUAGAGUUAAUUUUGCAAUAGAUUACUGAUUGAAUUGAUGAUUGAUCUGUCUGCUUCUGAGAACCAGAUGGCCUUUGAUAAUCUGAAUGUUUGGACUAUUAGAAUUCCUAUUUGCAGUACAUAUGCAGCAACAACUUUGUCAUUUUGAUGAAUAAAUCAAGUCAUAUUGUUUGUUUUUGGUUCCGAUUUCGACACUACGAAAUCCUCCUGGCAACCGGUCUAGACAAUCUAAGGCGAUUUUUGUUGGUUUGGCUAUAUUGAAUUCCUACCAUUUGAUGGAUCAUGAGUUUUCUGGUCUAUACUAGACUAUGAAAUGCAACUAUAGCUGGUAAAUUUGAGGCUAGCUGAGCUUCAUUGGUUUGUUGAAUUGUGCUAGGGCUGUGAGAAAUUGGGAUUUGGGAUGAGAUGCCAACUUUUUUCUUUCCCUUUUUGUUUCAAUUUUUUUUUAUGUAAAAAUUUAGAGGAAGAGAUGAUUUUAGAAGUUACUAUAAGUCAUAAAUUUUAUAACCAUGAUCCUCAGAAAAUUAUUUUGGCAAGCUUUGAUGCCUUCUAAGUUUUUAAGGAAAUUAGAUACUAGAUAGUGUGACCACUACUGAAGAAAUGAAAACGAGGGACUGGAAACCGUGUUUUUGCUCUCAGGAAUCCCAUAAAUACUUUCACCUAUGAAGUUUAACAUGCUUAUGUAAUGUUUUGAAAAAUAGGGAUAUUGAUAAAGAUAUAAUUUGUAGUUUUUGGGGUUAGUGAGGUUCCAAAAGUCUGUCUACAUAAAGGAUACAUUGUGUCUGGCAAAGAGCGUUUUGUAUUCUUUAGGAUGUCUCAUUAGGUAGGAACUCCAAUGGUUGAAUGUUGAAGCUUAUAAAUUGUAGUGGCUGCAAACGAAGUUGAACUCACAAUUAUGAUCUCUCUCAAUUAAGAAAACAAUCAUGACAUGUUUACUUAUCCAGGAUGCGUAUGUACACUAUUCUGGACUUGCUUGCACCCUGAGCCAGAUUUGGGUAUUUUGUAUGGUGUUCAAUUUGGCUUUUCACUUGAUUUAUGUACUUAAAGUGUCUCUUUAAUAUAGAUCACUCACUUUCUUUGAACAUUUUGGUCUCUACAACUUCAGGUUCUUACACUAGUUUUGAUUUGUUAGGAUUAUAAUAGAUAUCUGACUAUGCAUUUGUAUAUUUUGAUUCCUAAUAGAAGCAUAAAAGGAGAGAUAUUAUUCUCAUUAAUAAUACCUCUAUUUCCUAAAUAUCAUUUAUCAUACUGUUUUAUUGUAAAUUUCCCAGAUGGUCAAGAGUAACUCAUACAUUUUUAUCGUUUCUCUCUUGUAGUUGUCUGGAAAAGAGUGGUGCCAGAUUCUAGUUGUGGAGCUAACCUCCCUUACAAGUUCAGCAUCUCUACCAAUUGCAACAUGUAUAAUUAAUAAACUUAUCUCACAAUGAUGUCAAAAUGUCCCAGAUGUUCACUUUGUUACCUCAAAAUAUUAAUCUAUGAACUUGGAUGUUGUACUUUGUAUUUGGAUUGGAUGUGAAUCAUUGCAGGGACUAGGAGUGAAUUUGUGCAAAAUCUGCACAAAUGCAGUCUGCACUGGUACGGGUAGUGAAUCUGUGCAAAUUUUAGUUUUUUUUGUUUUUCAAAAAAAAAAAAGGACCCGUGGACCCUAUCCGAACCGGCCCAUUUCA